GUGGGGAAUAUUGCGCAAUGGGCGAAAGCCUGACGCAGCGACGCCGCGUGAGGGAUGAAGGUUUUCGGAUCGUAAACCUCUGUCAGAAGGGAAGAAACUACGUUGUGCUAAUCAGCAGCGUACUGACGGUACCUUCAAAGGAAGCACCGGCUAACUCCGUGCCAGCAGCCGCGGUAAUACGGAGGGUGUAAGCGUUAAUCGGAAUUACUGGGCGUAAAGCGCACGUAGGCUGUAGUGUAAGUCAGGGGUGAAAUCCCACGGCUCAACCGUGGAACUGCCUUUGAUACUGCACAACUUGAAUCCGGGAGAGGGUGGCGGAAUUCCAGGUGUAGGAGUGAAAUCCGUAGAUAUCUGGAGGAACAUCAGUGGCGAAGGCGGCCACCUGGACCGGUAUUGACGCUGAGGUGCGAAAGCGUGGGGAGCAAACAGGAUUAGAAACCCGGGUAGUCC
Molecule: ribosomal RNA, 450 nt
Filed under: uncultured bacterium
Lineage: Bacteria
Description: partial 16S ribosomal RNA
Rfam family: Bacterial small subunit ribosomal RNA
Source: RNAcentral